This 648-nucleotide ribosomal RNA is filed under the name Triticum aestivum (bread wheat). RNAcentral's name for it is "partial small subunit ribosomal RNA". The record is from RNAcentral. Lineage: Eukaryota; Viridiplantae; Streptophyta; Magnoliopsida; Poales; Poaceae.
AUGGACCUUCGAGAAAGUAUGGUACCAGAUAUGAUCCAAAGGGAUGACAGAUCAAAGUGGUUAUCACAUAGCAAUCAUAACAUAAAAUCCUUCACAGAGGAUGAGAUAAGAAGAAUUACCAGCAACUAUGAAACUAUCAUUGGAAAAGGCGGCUUCGAAGAAGUUUGCAAAGGUGUUCUCCAAGAUGGAAGAACAGUUGCAGUCAAGAGAUUUAUCCAUAAUGAAGAGGAAAAUUUUGCCAAAGAGCUGAAAGUCCACUGUGAAAUCAACCACAAGAAUGUAGUUACGCUCAUAGGCUACUGUGCCGAGGAAAAUGCCCUAAUGAUUGUCAGUGAGUACAUAUCCAAAGGGAAUCUCAGCGAUGUUCUUCAUCAUGAAUGCAUUCCCAUCACGUUGGAUACACGACUGCGGAUCGCGGUGGAGUGUUCAGAGGCACUGUGUUACAUGCAUUCACAAAUGUAUACUCAGGUCAUUCAUGGUGAUAUCAAGCCUGCCAAUAUACUAUUAGAUGACAACUUCAAUGCAAAAGUAUCCGACUUUGGAAUAUCAAGACUUGUGAACACAGACUCGACCCUUUUCACUGAUCGUGUAAUAGGGAGCAUAGGUUACACGGACCCUUUGUUUGCCCGCAGCGGGCAUCUCACCUAG